This is a long non-coding RNA of Puntigrus tetrazona (Sumatra barb), 4723 nucleotides long. RefSeq lists it as uncharacterized. The record is from RefSeq and is a predicted model, not a curated record. The transcript has 3 exons. Lineage: Eukaryota; Metazoa; Chordata; Actinopteri; Cypriniformes; Cyprinidae.
AUAUAGUAAACAGAACCUCUGACGUGCAUUUGUGACUCACAAGAACUGUGUGAAACAAAACUGGAAGACUUUGAGUGCAUGUAAGCAGUUGGCUAUUUUAAAAGCACUUUAUUUUACAGUCCUGUUCCCUGUGUAUAUACUAUAUACUUAUUAAUGUACAGUAAUUACAAUAACUGUACUUGCUUAUAAUCAAUAAAAAGUCAUUACUUUGUUUACAAAAGAAGACAGCACAACUAAAAACUAUAUGUUUUCCAGCAAAACCUAUAGUAAAAGAAUAAGUCUAAACAACAUUGGACAAAUAACUUUAAUUGUACGGACAAACACACAGAGACUUGUAGAACGUUUAUGAUUUUGCAGAAGAAAUCAGAUCUGUUUAAAAUGCUGCCUAUGAGUUUUCAAGAGGAAUGUUCGAAACCUUGACUGGCCUCCAGUCUCUGGUAAAAAGCUGAAAAGCAAUCACAUUCCUCCAUGCAGAAGUGGCAGCCUUUCAACAUAUCCACUUCUGCUGUUACAGCUGUGAAAAUAAGCCCUAAGUCCGAACUCCAGUCGGACCGCGGGCAGUUUUCUCAGGGGUCAGUGGUUAGCUAAGAACGGCUGGGUGCUGGGCUUUGACCUCAUACCCAACAAAGAAAAGAUGGAUGAAAUGACAGAAAACAGCGUGCUGCGGGCGGCCUGCCCAGGUGUUCUCCACAAUGCAGCAUUUGACUGCAUUACAUCCCCUUGACUUCAGAUGACCCCUUUAAGUCUAGGUCAGCUUUUGUUGACUUGGUUCUUGUCACAUUAUGUUUUACUCAUUAAAGUUUGCACGUGUCUUACGUGACCUAUUUGACCACAGUGUGACUUUUAAACAAUGAUUCGCAGGCCUUGUAAAAUGUCCAGCAAAUAUUCUUAGAGCAAAUAACAAAAUGUAAUUUAAUGGCCGUCAAGCAUGACAGAAGUGAGCUAAAUCCAGUGCAUGCAUGUGACCAUUUCACAUACGUGUGAAAUCUGACACUCUGCAAAACCAUAAACAUAAAGCAGAUACAGCGUAUUGAUAUUCUAGGUAUUUGCGUGCUUCUAAUUUUAUGCUAACAGUUUUGUCAGGACCCUUUUCUAUUCUAACAUGUAAAUGCCUCUGUGUAUAAUGCAAAGUAUAGUUUAAAAAAAAAAAAAAAAAAAAAAAAGACACGAUUGAGUCUGUGUGGAAGAACUUGACUGGUCUGCAGAGAGCCAAAUGGUAUGCAGACCUUUAGCCAAAAACUCAUCACCGAACACCAAUGACUUGUACGUAAGCUAUAUGGACAAAAGUAUUAGCACACCCUUUUGUUUAGAAUAGAAAAAGGCACUUCACAAAACUGUGCCAACAAAGAUAAAAACAAUUCGUGCGUCUAAAAAUUGUAUAUUCAUCUCUGUUGCAACAGUUGUGGAAGUGUCUAAAAUGACUGCACCCAUACGUACAAGUCGUCAGUGUUCGGCUCAAGUGGUUUUUGGUGUUUAGCUGGGAUUAGAACUUUGCUUUCUACAGAACAGUUAAGUUCUUUCACACUGGCCUUAUACACUUAGGCAAGGCCAUGUUAGUGGUCUCAUGGCGUAAACGUAAUAAACCUGCCAUAAACUGCAUAAGCGUGGUGCACUUUUUAGCGAGACGCGAAAUACGUACCAAAAAGUACAUAUCACUGCAUUGUCCAAAGGAAGUUAACACUAGAGGGAGUAACACUCAUACACCUUUUGUUUUCACACAAAUUUAGUUUUCGAAAAAGUAAUUUUUGCACAAUUACUUGUAAAAAUGUCAUGUUAUUACUUCAAAACAAUAUUAAUAUGCUGGGAGAUUUGAAAAACGUAUGCUUUUGAAUGUUAGCAUCACACAUAUCCAGCUUCAUAUCUACGGAUUUUUAUAGACGGCAGAUUUGUUCUGUAGCUCAUGGAGUAUGUAGGCGUACUUGUUUAACUACAGUUCAACUUUGAUAUAAAAAUAUAUUAAAUGCAACCAUGCCUUUUCAACUACCUUUUAUUCAGUUUUGCAUUUGGUAACACGGGUAGGUUUAGGGUUGGAUUUGGUGUAGGGCAUAUUUCCAAUACGAUAUUAGCUUUAAGCAACAGUCCCCGAAUAUUUGAAUUUUGAACCAACAUAAUACAUACCCGAAGCAACAAUAAAAACACAGCAUUAUAUACCUAUAUCAAUGUACUAAAAAUAUGCUAGGGUUCAUGUAUUGAAGCUGUGUUUUAACAUUUGAAACUGUGUCGAAACGUGCAGAAAGGUACGUAAAAGCGGUGUAGGUAUAUAUUUUUAUGAGAUCACGUUGCUUUUGGCAAUAUAUUGUAUGCUAUUCAUUUUUUUUUCUUUUUACUUUCAUACAAUAAACUAAAAUAAUAUGGCUUGCCUCAUUAUAUAAAAUCUGAAAUUUGACUCCAGAAGUAAAAAGCCAAAGUUGAAAACGAUGGACCUCAUUUAUCAGCUUCGCACCCUGAUGCAACAACCAUUAGCGGUUGGGUCAUGUAUCGCUGGUAUAAUGGCCUUACAUGGGGUUUGUUUCUUCGUCUGUUUUUAGAUCUAAGUGCGAGGUCUCAGUCACAUGAAUCCUAACAGCGCUUCUGACCUCCCACCAAUCUCAGCUUUGUUCCUUCAACACCCUCUUCUGAUGCCACAGAUAACAACUGUCAUUAUAACGGACGGAUGGCCUUUCUCCAAACUACAGCAGCGCGAAAUAUUUCCAAACGGAGUACACGACCACAACGAAGUGUCAAAAUUUCCCCUUUCUGCUUUUUUCCUUCUAAAAUCCCUAUGGAGAAAAUGAAAGUGUUGCUCCAUCGCAAUCGUCCUCAAGCCAUCGUGAAGACAGUGCCUCAAUCACGCAACAAGCCGCUUCAGGCCUGCAACACCAAAACAAGAUCAGAAGUCCUCGUGCAGUAAUCCAUGCUACCGGCAAACGGCAGAGACACCAGAUGCUAACAUAACUUCAGCUGAAACCUUAAAUGUUAAGACUAUAUUUAUUUCAAGGCCUGAAACAAACCACACAAAAGUGCCCGAAUGCUGAUUUCUGAUCUCACACACCAUUGUAUGUCGUUUGCCAAGGCAAACUUCACUAUUACUAUCCUAAUACUUAAGUAUCUGUUUACCUUAUAGUGGUGUGCAGUUUUUCUACUUUUAUUUCUGCUACAGUUAUGAAAGAUUCCUCAAAUUGUGUGGGUUGUUGUUGGAGAGGUGUGUUGUGUAGUGGUAUUUUUUAAGCACUUUAACUUUGGAUUAUAGAGAGCAGGAUAUCAUAAAGGCUUGGGAUGCAAUCUGUUGAUUUAGGUCAAUAAAUAACCACCUAGGAUCGCCUAGAACACCACAGGAACUGCAUAGCAAUGCGAUGAAACCUCUCGGAACACCAUAGCAACCGAAUAGCAAUGCCCUGGCAACCAGCCACAGCAUCCAUGGCAAUUUUUCAAGCAUCACUUUUUGUCCAGCAAAUGGAACAUCUUUUUGUUUCUAAACGUGUUUUGCGCAAUUCAUAACAUAAUGCGAAUAGAGCAUUUUCUUUUACAGUCAGUAUUCCCCGGUCAAGUACUUUAAUGGCAGAGCGACAGCUUGAAAAGGAUCUUGUAUAAAAAUCGCACAACAAAUAGUGGCACAAGGAAUGCAAACUACUGGCACUCAAAAGAAAAAGAUAUAAAUAACCCUUUUUCUUCUAUUAAAUUAAUUUUAACAUGAACAGUUUUUAUUGGUUAAAUUUAAUGCACUGUGAACUAACACGAAUGAACACUAAACGACUGGAUUUUUAAACUAACAUUAAUAAAGGGUAAUAGAUAAUAAAUGCAGCAAGAAAUUUAUUGUUGAUUUCAUGCAUUUUUGUAAAUGAUCACCAAUAAUAAUAAUAAUACAAUAGUAUUGGUUAUUAAUGGUAUUAAUAGUAAUACUUUUUUAAAACAAACACAUUAAGACAGGGAUUGCAUAAAUAAACAUAUUUGUUACUUUGAAUUCUUAAGCAUGCCAACCACUUUUAACUAUACGACAAAAGCAGCCUGACCUUGUUUUUUUUUUUUUUACUUUGCUUGAUUUGAUUCAUCGCAUAUGAUUGAUUUAAUUGUAUUGCAACCAUGAAGAGUGUCAUCAGGAGUUAUAGGAGUUUUCUUUGCAUGUGCUGUUCCUGACAACAGCCUUCGUAACUAAACUAUUUGUCCUCUAUUGUCGAUCAAGGCUAAAACAACAUCCAUUCGGGUAGAGGUUUCAACAGAGCUCAUCACCUCAAGCCCAAUGACUUGGAUAUAAAGACUUAACACGUUUAUCAUAUUUAUCAAAGAUCAAGCCCGAAUCCAUGAGAAACCCUGAAAGAUCUGAUUUGAAAAACGUGUUCUUCAGUUUACAGCGGUCGAAUGAAUGGGCUGCUCCUGGAGCAUUGUGAAGUUCAUAGCUCUAUUACUGAGCUCACCUUGAGGAAGUAAUAAUGUUGAGGUUCACGACUGAAUUUGACUCUCUUUUGUACUGUUUGGAUGUAUUAUUAAAUACCAGCUCAACAUCUCCCAGCAGCAUCUGUGGCUUGCAGAAAAUAAUUCUGACUCAUCCAGAAAUACUAAGCACAAAUGAAAAACACAUUUAUAGUAAUGUGCAUACAAUAUAAGUUCACAGGGCAAAGUAUUCCGGAGGGUUGAAAGGAGAAAUGUGAAAUUCUUACAUAAAAGCUUGACUAAAAAUGUACUCAAGGUAAUUUAUUAUUAGGAUUAUUCACUUAUAUUUGUUUAAAACAACUAUUUAUUUUUUGUU